AGAAUGUUCUCGAUGGGUUUCUGCGCAUGCUCAGAAGCUGAUUCCACAAACUCCACUGUUGCUGUGUGCAAAUUGGCCGGUGAAUGUGCUCGUGGUCAAGGUCUUACCCUGCUUUCAUCAAAUGACAUCUAUCGCUGUCUGAGUCUUCCAUACAUUGCUGAGCUUGAGGACUAGACAGUCUGCAUUUAUUUGUGGCUCUUCAGUAGUGGUAGAAGCAGAGUUUACUCAUGCAACAGCUGGAUCAUCAUUCUACACGGCUGAUGACAAUCUUUAAACGUAAAGGAGGAGCAGCAGGGCGGAAAAUAAGGAAUAUCAUGGUGGACCUGGAUAAGAAUGAAGCUGUUGAAACAAGAAGAGCCUGUGUACUGAAAGCACUAAUGGUUUACUUCAAUGAAGACCCUGAAAAUCUCAUAAGAGAGUACAUGUGGAAAGCGGGUGUUGACCCAUGCCCCACCUCACCCUGCCGCCGCCGGACACUGUCACCUUUUUUUCUCUGAGGAGUUUGCAGGUCUGGGUAUUAUUUAUGGAUGGUGCUACAUCCUUCCAGACAAAACUACAUGGUAAUUGGAGACUGGAUCGAUAAUAAAUGGUGUGUAUGUUGUAACUGAAGGUGCAUUUGUUCUGUUUUUGAGGAUGUUGAAGACAACCAGGAGGCUAUGGACCAGACAGUCAUGGGAAUCUUUGCCAUAAAGAUGGAAGGUGCAGUCUACAGAUGGCCUGACUAAUGCUGGAAUAAUCAUUGAAGGUGUGGAAGUGCUCCAUGACCUUGAUAACAUUGCAAAUGCAGUCGCCGUUUUGUUUGGCAUCAUGUACUCACGGGACCUGAGCUAUCCAACAAACCUGAAGUACACAUUUGAGGUUCUGCAGAAACUUGUGAUGGAACUAGAUGGCAACAAACUCUCAACAAAGGCUCAAGUGCUAAUGAACAAACUAUUUUUUUAUUUGAAGGAACAUUUUAGACAAGUGUCGUGCUCCUGAGCAGCACAGAGGAAACUUGGGAGGACAGAUUCCAUCCCAAACCAUCUGGCAGAAAACUGAUUUUUGGAUCUGCAUGUUGAACUGUGAACAGUGAACGAUGUGGAGUGGAUCAGAUGCACUAAAUGUUAACAGAGUUCAUGAGAUUUGGUACUGUAAAAAAUGUAUUUUGAACUACUUUUUUUCAGCAAUGGUUAGGGUUAUUUUAAGAUAUAACUCACGCAAAUUCAAAGUUUGUAUUUUUAAAUGUGUUUGCUUGUGAUGGUUGUAUAGUACCAUUUAUUACCAUUGGUAAUAAAUAGUAUUUUUCCACAGAACCAAGGUAUUGUAAUUUGAAUUUACUCAACUACAUUGUGUGGAAAUUGUUGACAUAACUAGGUUUAGUGAGUCCAACAUAAUUCACUAGCUUGAUAACAAUGAAAACUAUGUAAGUACUGAUUAUUCAAGUCACUUAAAUUGGAACUACAAUGAGUUGUUCAAUUAGUGUUACUCAAUGCAGCUGAGUUACAUUUACAUUAGUGAGUUAGGUCAGUGUAAUGAAUGCCUGCUUAGUUAGCUGAACACAUUUUGAUCAAUUAAGGCUAACUUGACCAGAUAAUAUUGAAAUUACAGUCUUGUUGGUUUCACAUACGUUAAUUAUUUCCUCUGUAAUAGUACUAUUAAAUUAGUUUGAACACAAGACAGUUUUGUGGAAAUUGUUGAUAUAACUAUAUUAAGUACAUUGAACAAAUUAUUUUUUUGAGAUUUGUGCACGUUCAUAGUUAGCAUACAAAAUGUGUACUAAAUGGAGAAUAAAUAUCAAAGUAAAGUA
Molecule: long non-coding RNA, 1786 nt
Organism: Solea senegalensis (Senegalese sole)
Lineage: Eukaryota; Metazoa; Chordata; Actinopteri; Pleuronectiformes; Soleidae
Exons: 5
Source: RefSeq, a predicted model, not a curated record